RNAcentral lists this microRNA precursor (95 nucleotides) under Camelus bactrianus (Bactrian camel). Its description in RNAcentral is "mir-544 microRNA precursor family". It matches the Rfam family "mir-544 microRNA precursor family". The record is from Rfam by way of RNAcentral. Lineage: Eukaryota; Metazoa; Chordata; Mammalia; Artiodactyla; Camelidae. RNAcentral also lists the same sequence under 2 other names.
AUCACUUGGGGAGCUUGUUAAAAUGCAGAUUCUGAGUCAGCUGGUCUGGGUAGGACCUGAGAUCUGCAUUUUAACAAGCUCCCAGGUGAUGUCAG